RNAcentral lists this non-coding RNA (170 nucleotides) under Rossellomorea aquimaris. The record is from RNAcentral. Lineage: Bacteria; Bacillati; Bacillota; Bacilli; Caryophanales; Bacillaceae.
UCUGGGGUGACCUAGAAUCUGAAGGAAGCUGGAAGCAAAUUUCCGACCCGAGUAACACGGAUCUCAUAAUAGGCUGCAUUUCUCGAAUGAGACUGCUAAACAAGUCGAAGUUCAACGACCAAAGGGGAAUGUAGUAAAUGAGGCCGGUACAUGGAAGGAAAGUUUGUGCA